RNAcentral lists this ribosomal RNA (131 nucleotides) under Cyclobacteriaceae bacterium. Its description in RNAcentral is "partial 16S ribosomal RNA". It matches the Rfam family "Bacterial small subunit ribosomal RNA", at positions 1394 to 1533 of the family's 1533-position model. Lineage: Bacteria; Pseudomonadati; Bacteroidota; Cytophagia; Cytophagales; Cyclobacteriaceae. The record is from RNAcentral.
CCGUCAAGCCAUGGAAGUUAGGAGGACCUGAAGACAGUUGCUGUAAGGCGCUGUUUAGGGUUAAACUGAUGACUGGGGCUAAGUCGUAACAAGGUAGCCGUACCGGAAGGUGCGGCUGGAACACCUCCUUU